RNAcentral lists this ribosomal RNA (450 nucleotides) under uncultured bacterium. RNAcentral's name for it is "partial 16S ribosomal RNA". It matches the Rfam family "Bacterial small subunit ribosomal RNA", at positions 354 to 796 of the family's 1533-position model. The record is from RNAcentral.
GUGGGGAAUAUUGGACAAUGGGCGAAAGCCUGAUCCAGCCAUGCCGCGUGUGUGAAGAAGGUCUUCGGAUUGUAAAGCACUUUAAGUUGGGAGGAAGGGCAGUAAGUUAAUACCUUGCUGUUUUGACGUUACCAACAGAAUAAGCACCGGCUAACUUCGUGCCAGCAGCCGCGGUAAUACGAAGGGUGCAAGCGUUAAUCGGAAUUACUGGGCGUAAAGCGCGCGUAGGUGGUUCAGCAAGUUGAAGGUGAAAUCCCCGGGCUCAACCUGGGAACUGCCUCCAAAACUACUGAGCUAGAGUACGGUAGAGGUUAGUGGAAUUUCCUGUGUAGCGGUGAAAUGCGUAGAUAUAGGAAGGAACACCAGUGGCGAAAGCGACUACCUGGACUGAUACUGACACUGAGGUGCGAAAGCGUGGGGAGCAAACAGGAUUAGAUACCCCAGUAGUCC